CCCAUCUCAAGGUCGUACCUGGAGAGUUUUCAGUACUCUAUCAGUCUUGGCGUCAAGAGGGAGAGUCAAGCAGAGGCCUACUCAUUCCAUUCCUAGCUUGGCCAGUGGCUAGCGAGUGGGAGGCAGUCUGUUACAAGU
This is a small nucleolar RNA of Tachyglossus aculeatus (Australian echidna), 138 nucleotides long. The record is from RefSeq and is a predicted model, not a curated record. NCBI's taxonomy places the organism in Eukaryota, Metazoa, Chordata, Mammalia, Monotremata, Tachyglossidae.